UAAUCAGUUUACAACAUGGAUGAUGACUGUUGCAAACAUCAACUCCAGCUAACAGAGGACUGGGGGAAGCACUCAUCUCCGUGCUCAAGCGUGUGUCGGUCGGUCGACCUUCGCCAAAAUAGUGGUCAGGACCAGUUUGACACGAUUGACUUGUCGGACAACGAGAUUGUCAAGCUUGAGAACUUCCCUUUCAUGAAUCGCCUAGGGAGCCUCAACCUGCUUACAACUUACAACGCAGGUGAUGCCCAGCCCCCAGGGAGCUCUGCAUCCAUGUCUCGGCCGUCCUCCACAGGAAGAACCUGAUCCAAAGGAGCAAGCAGCGCUGCUGGUUCCUUCGAGGAUGCGUGCUCCUGGUCGAGUCUUGUGGAGAAGUAGGGCGAAUCGGGCAUCGUCUCACUUGUGCUGUUGUGGUGAAUGAGGUUUUCAAAUGUUGAAGGAGGAGGACAAUAGGAACUUCUGUUAUGUCUUAUCAUCUAAAUUUCUGUUUUAAUUUUCUUUCAUAGAAUAGUUUUGUUUGGUACUUACUAUUCUUAGGAUGUAAAGAUAUGUAUUGCUGGAAUGAAUGGUUGUAAUAUUAUAACAUUGCAUGUUGCUUUGAAAAUGUAUCAGAACUGGGCUAGGUCCAAGAUAACUUGUGGUGUGAUGUGUUGUAAUGUU
Molecule: non-coding RNA, 657 nt
Organism: Triticum urartu
Lineage: Eukaryota; Viridiplantae; Streptophyta; Magnoliopsida; Poales; Poaceae
Source: RefSeq, a predicted model, not a curated record